AUCCAAAAUGAAAAAUUCAAUCAACAUAGGGUUUUAUUUUUAAUUGUGCCAAAUGAAAGGCUUAAUUAAUAAUUUUCAUUGGAUUUUAGCUAAUCCGUUUACCGGAAUUUUUCAAUCAUGUGUUAUGAAUGUAUAAACCUAAUGUGAUAUUUCUAAACAUCAUUUCAACCUACAUGUAUUUGGCAUGCCCACAUUUUCUGCCAGAUGCUGCAUUAAGUACUGGGGACUUAUUUCUGGAUGGCCAAUAAUACCUGGCCCAGCCUUUGAGGAGGAAUAAGAUACAAAAAUUCGUCUUCUAAAAAGGAAGUGCAGACUACCUGGGUCAAGGAACUUAUGGUUCUCAGCUGGUGUGAUGAUUACUUAGUUUUAUGGGAAAACACUCCAGAGGACACGCUCUUUGGUCCUAUUCUUGCCAAUCCACUCCCAUUUAAUACCAUAUGUUGAAAUUUUAUGUACUCCUCAAGGCUCUGCUCAGAUGCCUUUCUGCUGUAAAGAGUGGUCCUCAUAUCCCAGCCCUUUAUAUUACCUCCCUUUUCCAAACUUCUGUGGCAGGUCACUUUAUACCUGGCGAGGCAAGGUUAUUUGCAUACCUGACUAGUCCGCUCCCAUUUGCUUCCAUAGUGACCAGUAAAUAUUAGUUUGAUUGAGAGAAAAGUGUAUUUUACUUAUUUUUAAUUUUUAUUCCUAACUGCUAGACCACCAAAGAGAGAGAGCACAAUGUUUUUUAGAUAGAACACCUCGUUAUUAAGGGAGAACAAGUUCUAUUUUGAUCUAGAUUGGCAGGAGUAUUACAUUUUCAGACUGAAUAUUUUCAUGGAAAGCCAGUGUUCCAUCAGCCAUUUUAAGAUAACUCAGUUUUGUAUCUAUGGUUAGGCGAUUGCCUACAUACAAAGCACACUUUAAUGACGAAUUAGAGGAUUCCAAGCUUGCCUUUAUAAGUGAAUAUCUACAGAUUUUUUUUUCUUAUAAAUACUACAUGGAAACCAAGUUACUCUAUGUUUUGAAAGCAACUUCUAGUACUCUUUAGAUGUAUGGGAAAAAGUCCUCAGGUUAAUUUCCUUAAGAAAAAGCGUCAUGAAUUAAAAGACUGCUUGUUGAAACUGAAGAUCACUUUCUACUGAGUCACCAGAUAUUGAGCAAUAUGAUUUAUAUCAAUAUGCCUUGUGAAAUUGUCAAGUUAAAGAUUGUACAUAUUAGAUAAGAAAAUUUUGUGUCCCUAUAGAGUGACAAGUAUCUUGAGGGUUUUCUGGAAAUAUUGAAUUCAACAAAUAUCUCAGUAAAAUGCAAACAACUUCUUGAUGGAUUUUUUAGUCUCAAACAGCCAGCCUAAUUCCUUUAUUAAGAUUUAAGGAGAAGGAAGUAAGUGGAAUUCAAUUUCAUAUGACGCAAGCAUAUUUUAAAUAGAGUAACCAAAACAAAUAGAUUCAAAUGGAAUCUAUGCAAACCAUCCUCUUUGCUUCCUUUGUGAUGGACACUCCUUAGCUUCUGCGCCUUAAUAAGACAGAUCUUGCUGUGUUGCUCAGCUGAAGUAUGGUGUUGUGAUCAAAACUCACUGCAGCCUGGAACUCCUGGGCUCAAGACAUCCUCCUGCCUUGGCUCCCGAGUAGCUGGGACCACAGGUGCAAGCCUCUGCACUGCAGUGCUCCUCUGCAGCAACCUCAGAACAGUGGCCCACACUCCUAGAAUUUGAGAAAAUGGCAUCUUCUUCAGAGGACAGAGGUUCGUAGUCUCAGUGGUUUAUUCACCUGCUACAGCUCAGCAUGUGAUGUGGUUUUGCUGUGUCCCCACCCAAUUGUCAUCUUGAAUUGCAGCUCCCAUAAUUCCUAUGUGUUGU
RNAcentral lists this long non-coding RNA (1834 nucleotides) under Homo sapiens (human). Its description in RNAcentral is "HSALNT0389730". Lineage: Eukaryota; Metazoa; Chordata; Mammalia; Primates; Hominidae. The record is from RNAcentral.